CCCUUAGAUGUCCUGGGCCGCACGCGCGCUACACUGAACGGAUCAGCGCGUUUUCCCUUCCCGAGAGGGACGGGUAACCUGCUGAACCCCGUUCGUGGUAGGGAUCGGGGCUUGCAAUUAUUCCCCGUGAACCAGGAAUGCCCAGUAAGUGCAAGUCAUAAGCUUGCGUUGAUUACGUCCCUGCCCUUUGUACACACCGCCCGUCGCUCCUACCGAUUGAAUGGUCCGGUGAAGCGUUCGGACCGUGGCCUUUGGACGGUUCGCCGUCUGUUGGCUGCGGGAAGUUCGUUAAACCUUAUCAUUUAGAGGAAGGAGAAGUCGUAACA
This 326-nucleotide ribosomal RNA is filed under the name uncultured eukaryote. RNAcentral's name for it is "partial 18S ribosomal RNA". It matches the Rfam family "Eukaryotic small subunit ribosomal RNA", at positions 1470 to 1796 of the family's 1831-position model. The record is from RNAcentral.